RNAcentral lists this small RNA (288 nucleotides) under Stenotrophomonas acidaminiphila. RNAcentral's name for it is "Xoo8". The record is from RNAcentral. Lineage: Bacteria; Pseudomonadati; Pseudomonadota; Gammaproteobacteria; Lysobacterales; Lysobacteraceae.
GCAUGGCCGGCAGGCGGUGAGUUGUCGUAGACGCCGGGGUUGUCCUCCCCGGUAGCAGCAUCCAUGUCCGUUGCUGCCGGGCCAGGAUCGGCCCGGCGGCAGCUUCGCCUCCCCGGAGGAGGCGUGGUGGCCGUGCGCCAGGGACGGAUGUUGAUGCGUGUUAUUCUUGUUUGGUUAUGGCCGCGCUCCGGGCGGUCCCUCCAGAACGUACCCCGAUGAUCCAGCAGCGCACCCUCAAGAACACGAUCCGCGCCACCGGCGUCGGCCUGCACAGCGGCGACAAGGUCU